AACACCGCAUGCAAUUGUUUUCCAACACUAUGAGUUCGUUGACAAUACAAAAUCAUAAUAUUCUAUGCAUGUUGAAUGGAUAAUUGAAAUGAUAAUUUUGCUAUCUUUGUACAAUAUUUGUUCUUUUGUCUAAAAGUAGUAAUUACUAUAAAAUUACCCUGCAGUACUUUUGACAGUUGACAUUGCUGACAAUACUUCCUUCCUCAUUAAUUUAAAUUAUUUAAAUAUAUACAUACAUAUGUAUGUAUAAAUGUACCUAUGUAUGUAUAUUAAUAAUAUUAACAAAGGUGCAUAUUUCAAAGACGGAAAAUAUGACAACUUUAAGGAUUGUAGUACGGAUUUUUCUAGAAACAUGGAAAUCUAACCUGGAAUUCCCCCAAUUGAACUUACCGAUUUUGCGGUGCAGCAAAUUCGAUGUUAUUCAGAAGCAAAGCCUUGAAAAGACGAACACGACGAACAAAAGUAUUAAAUGUUUAACUUCACUUGUAAAAAUGUAACUUUUUUUUUAUUUUUGUAUUUUUUACGAAAUAAAGAACACUCAAGAAAUGCAAUGAAAAGACUGCAUGGAACAAGUUAUUAAUUAUUUUUUUUUUAAAGUUUAUUUUUGGGUAAUAAAUUAAUU
This is a long non-coding RNA of Drosophila nasuta, 622 nucleotides long. RefSeq lists it as uncharacterized. The record is from RefSeq and is a predicted model, not a curated record. The transcript is spliced from 2 exons. NCBI's taxonomy places the organism in Eukaryota, Metazoa, Arthropoda, Insecta, Diptera, Drosophilidae.